UACAGAGGUCCCAAGCGUUACUGAGAAUCACUGGGUUUAAAGGGUGCGUAGGUGGUCCGUUAAGUCAGUUGUGAAAUCCCCGGGCUCAACCCGGGAAAUGCUUCUGAUACUGGCGGACUUGAGGCCAGUAGGGGUCACUAGAACUUACGGUGGAGCGGUGAAAUGCGUAGAUAUCGUCAGGAAUGCCGGUGGUGAAGACGGGUGACUGGGCUGGUUCUGACACUGAGGCACGAAAGCGUGGGGAGCGAACGGG
This 253-nucleotide ribosomal RNA is filed under the name uncultured bacterium. RNAcentral's name for it is "partial 16S ribosomal RNA". It matches the Rfam family "Bacterial small subunit ribosomal RNA", at positions 524 to 776 of the family's 1533-position model. The record is from RNAcentral.